This 435-nucleotide ribosomal RNA is filed under the name uncultured Lachnospiraceae bacterium. RNAcentral describes it as "bacterial SSU rRNA". It matches the Rfam family "Bacterial small subunit ribosomal RNA", at positions 341 to 792 of the family's 1533-position model. Lineage: Bacteria; Bacillati; Bacillota; Clostridia; Lachnospirales; Lachnospiraceae. The record is from RNAcentral.
ACGGAAGGCAGCAGUAGGGAAUAUUGCACAAUGGAGGAAACUCUGAUGCAGCGACGCCGCGUGAGUGAUGAAGUAUUUCGGUAUGUAAAGCUCUUUAAGCAGGGAAGAUAAUGACGGUACCUGCAGAAUAAGCACCGGCUAAAUACGUGCCAGCAGCCGCGGUAAUACGUAUGGUGCAAGCGUUAUCCGGAUUUACUGGGUGUAAAGGGAGUGUAGGUGGUUUGGCAAGCCAGAAGUGAAAACCCGGGGCUCAACCCCGUGGAUUGCUUUUGGAACUGUUGGACUAGAGUGCAGGAGGGGUAAGCGGAAUUCCCAGUGUAGCGGUGAAAUGCGUAGAUAUUGGGAAGAACACCGAUGGCGAAGGCGGCUUACUGGACUGUAACUGACACUGAGGCUCGAAAGCGUGGGGAGCAAACAGGAUUAGAUACCCUGGUA